Molecule: ribosomal RNA, 421 nt
Filed under: uncultured marine bacterium
Lineage: Bacteria
Description: bacterial SSU rRNA
Rfam family: Bacterial small subunit ribosomal RNA
Source: RNAcentral
CUGCUUUUAUACGGGAAGAAAAAGAGCUACGUGUAGCUUACUGACGGUACCGUACGAAUAAGGACCGGCUAACUCCGUGCCAGCAGCCGCGGUAAUACGGAGGGUCCGGUCGUUAUCCGGAAUUAUUGGGUUUAAAGGGUCCGUAGGCGGGCCGAUUUGUCAGGGGUGAAAGUCUGCCGCUCAACGGUAGAACUGCCUUUGAUACUGUCGGUCUUGACUUAUAGUGAAGUUGCCGGAGUAUGUAUUGUAGCGGUGAAAUGCAUAGAUUUUACAUCGAACACCGAUUGAGAAGGCAGGUGACUAACUAUGACUGAAGCUGAGCGAAGAAAGCAUAGCGUGCGAAGAGGAUUAGAUAACAUGGUAGUCCCGCCAUAAACGAUGGAUACUAGCUGUUCGGAACCUUGAGUUAUGGGCGGCGAAA